Molecule: ribosomal RNA, 367 nt
Filed under: uncultured organism
Description: bacterial LSU rRNA
Rfam family: Bacterial large subunit ribosomal RNA
Source: RNAcentral
CUUUACUGUAGCUUUGCAUUGGACUGUGACGCUGUCUGUGUAGGAUAGCUGGGAGCCUUUGAAGCCGGGAUGCUAGUUCCGGUGGAGGCGACGUUGAAAUACCAGCCUGAUGACGUUGCGGUUCUAACCUGGGCCCCUUGACGGGGUCGGGGACCGUGCAUGGUAGGCAGUUUGACUGGGGCGGUCUCCUCCCAAAGAGUAACGGAGGAGUGCGAAGGUCACCUAGGUACGGUCGGAAAUCGUACUCAUAGUGCAAUGGCAUAAGGUGGCUUGACUGCGAGACUGACAAGUCGAGCAGGUGCGAAAGCAGGUCAUAGUGAUCCGGUGGUUCUGUAUGGAAGGGCCAUCGCUCAACGGAUAAAAGGUA